GAUGAAGAACGUAGCGAAAUGCGAUAAGUAAUGUGAAUUGCAGAAUUCAGUGAAUCAUCGAAUCUUUGAACGCACCUUGCGCCCCUUGGUUAUUCCAAAGGGCAUGCCUGUUUGAGAAUCAUGAACACCUCAACUCUUGUGGUUUCCCACAAUGAGCUUGGACUGUGGAGGUUUUGUUGGCCCUGUGGUCAGCUCCUCUCAAAUGGAUCAGCUUACCGGUGUUUGGUGGCAUUACGGGUGUGAUAACUAUCUACGCUCGUGGUCGUCACCAAAUAACCUCCAGUGAUGGAGGUUCGCUGGAGCUUAUAAAUGUCUCUCCCCAGUGAAGACAGCCUUUGAACGUUCGAUCUCAAAUCAGGUAGGACUACCCGCUGAACUUAAGCAUAUCAAUAAGCGGAGGA
Molecule: unclassified non-coding RNA, 401 nt
Filed under: soil metagenome
Description: partial contains 5.8S ribosomal RNA, internal transcribed spacer 2, and large subunit ribosomal RNA
Rfam family: 5.8S ribosomal RNA (bases 1-121)
Source: RNAcentral